UACGUAGGUGGCAAGCGUUGUCCGGAUUUACUGGGCGUAAAGAGCGCGCAGGCGGUCGAUUUAGUCGCGUGUGAAAGCCCCCGGCUCAACUGGGGAGGGUCACGCGAUACUGAUCGACUCGAAGGCAGGAGAGGGUAGUGGAAUUCCCGGUGUAGUGGUGAAAUGCGUAGAUACCGGGAGGAACACCAGUGGCGAAGGCGACUACCUGGCCUGUUCUUGACGCUGAGGCGCGAAAGCUAGGGGAGCAAACGGG
Molecule: ribosomal RNA, 253 nt
Filed under: uncultured bacterium
Lineage: Bacteria
Description: partial 16S ribosomal RNA
Rfam family: Bacterial small subunit ribosomal RNA
Source: RNAcentral